This 867-nucleotide non-coding RNA is filed under the name Scinax quinquefasciatus (Fowler's snouted treefrog). RNAcentral describes it as "partial 12S ribosomal RNA". It matches the Rfam family "Bacterial small subunit ribosomal RNA". Lineage: Eukaryota; Metazoa; Chordata; Amphibia; Anura; Hylidae. The record is from RNAcentral.
CUUACACAUGCAAGUCUCCGCACCCCUGUGAAAACGCCCUCUAANCCCCUUAAGGGACGAGGAGCCGGUAUCAGGCUCAAUCAUUAGCCCAAGACACCUAGCUUUGCCACACCCACAAGGGAAUUCAGCAGUGAUUAACAUUGAUAAUAAGCGCAAGCUUGACUCAGUCAGAGUAAUUAGAGCCGGCAAAUCUGGUGCCAGCCGCCGCGGCUAUACCACGANGGCCCAAACUGAUCCCCUUCGGCGUAAAGCGUGAUUAAAGUGACCCCAGACUGUAGAUAAACUAGUAUUUAGCUGUGNAUACGCUGGUNUUCUAGGAAAAACAAAAACGAAAGUUGCUACAGCAGAACCCGCUUGACCUCACGACAGCUAAGACACAAACUGGGAUUAGAUACCCCACUAUGCUUAGCCGUAAACCUUAACUUACACCCAAAUCGCCAGGGAACUACGAGCAACGCUUAAAACCCAAAGGACUUGACGGUGCCCCACAUCCACCUAGAGGAGCCUGUCCUAUAAUCGAUAACCCCCGUUCUACCUCACCACUUUUUGNCCUAUCAGCCUGUAUACCUCCGUCGUCAGCUUACCACGUGAGCGCCCUCCAGUAAGCGUAAAAGCCCCNCCGCUAAAACGUCAGGUCAAGGUGCAGCUAAUGAAGUGGGAAGAGAUGGGCUACACUCUCUAGUUUAGAAGACACGAAAGACUACUCAUGCAACUUNAGUCAGAAGGCGGAUUUAGAAGUAAAUGGGGACAAGAGAGCCCCCUUUNWACACNGGCCCUGGGGGUGUGUACACACCGCCCGUCWCCCUCUUCGAAGCCNNUAUAUAUUAGUUUCUUUACACCUCUAAUGCAAAUAAGAAGAGGCANAGU